CCUACGGGAGGCAGCAGUGAGGAAUAUUGGUCAAUGGACGAGAGUCUGAACCAGCCAAGUAGCGUGAAGGAUGACUGCCCUAUGGGUUGUAAACCUCUUUUAUAUGGGAAUAAAAUGUUCCACGUGUGGGAUUUUGUAUGUACCAUAUGAAUAAGGAUCGGCUAACUCCGUGCCAGCAGCCGCGGUAAUACGGAGGAUCCGAGCGUUAUCCGGAUUUAUUGGGUUUAACGGGAGCGUAGGUGGAUUGUUAAGUCAGUUGUGAAAGUUUGCGGCUCAACCGUAAAAUUGCAGUUGAAACUGGCAGUCUUGAGUACAGUAGAGGUGGGCGGAAUUCGUGGUGUAGCGGUGAAAUGCUUAGAUAUCACGAAGAACUCCGAUUGCGAAGGCAGUUCACUGGACUGCAACUGACACUGAGGCUCGAAAGUGUGGGUAUCAAACAGGAUUAGAUACCCCGGUAGUC
RNAcentral lists this ribosomal RNA (460 nucleotides) under uncultured bacterium. RNAcentral describes it as "partial 16S ribosomal RNA". It matches the Rfam family "Bacterial small subunit ribosomal RNA", at positions 338 to 795 of the family's 1533-position model. The record is from RNAcentral.